AUAUGCCUUUAGGUGGGGGACAACAGUUGGAAACGACUGCUAAUACCGCAUAAUGUCUACGGACCAAAGAGGGGGACCUUCGGGCCUCUUGCCUUUAGAUUAGCCCAAGUGAGAUUAGCUUGAUGGUGGGGUAAUGGCCUACCAUGGCGACGAUCUCUAGCUGGUUUGAGAGGAUGAUCAGCCACACUGGGACUGAGACACGGCCCAGACUCCUACGGGAGGCAGCAGUGGGGAAUAUUGCACAAUGGGCGAAAGCCUGAUGCAGCCAUGCCGCGUGUGUGAAGAAGGCCUUCGGGUUGUAAAGCACUUUCAGUUGUGAGGAAAGGUUAAUGGUUAAUACCCAUUAGCUGUGACGUUAGCAACAGAAGAAGGACCGGCUAACUCCGUGCCAGCAGCCGCGGUAAUACGGAGGGUCCGAGCGUUAAUCGGAAUUACUGGGCGUAAAGCGCACGCAGGCGGUUUGUUAAGCUAGAUGUGAAAGCCCCGGGCUCAACCUGGGAAUUGCAUUUAGAACUGGCAGGCUAGAGUCUUGGAGAGGGGAGUGGAAUUCCAGGUGUAGCGGUGAAAUGCGUAGAUAUCUGGAGGAACAUCAGUGGCGAAGGCGACUCCCUGGCCAAAGACUGACGCUCAUGUGCGAAAGUGUGGGUAGCGAACAG
This 656-nucleotide ribosomal RNA is filed under the name uncultured bacterium. RNAcentral describes it as "bacterial SSU rRNA". It matches the Rfam family "Bacterial small subunit ribosomal RNA", at positions 124 to 775 of the family's 1533-position model. The record is from RNAcentral.